This 1057-nucleotide ribosomal RNA is filed under the name uncultured fungus. RNAcentral's name for it is "eukaryotic LSU rRNA". The stretch from base 475 to 1057 matches the Rfam family "Eukaryotic large subunit ribosomal RNA", at positions 1 to 594 of the family's 3401-position model. The record is from RNAcentral. Lineage: Eukaryota; Fungi.
AGGGAUCAUUAUAGAGUUUUCUAAACUCCCAACCCAUGUGAACUUACCUUUUGUUGCCUCGGCAGAAGUUAUAGGUCUUCUUAUAGCUGCUGCCGGUGGACCAUUAAACUCUUGUUAUUUUAUGUAAUCUGAGCGUCUUAUUUUAAUAAGUCAAAACUUUCAACAACGGAUCUCUUGGUUCUGGCAUCGAUGAAGAACGCAGCGAAAUGCGAUAAGUAAUGUGAAUUGCAGAAUUCAGUGAAUCAUCGAAUCUUUGAACGCACAUUGCGCCCAUUAGUAUUCUAGUGGGCAUGCCUGUUCGAGCGUCAUUUCAACCCUUAAGCCUAGCUUAGUGUUGGGAAUCUACUUCUCUUAGGAGUUGUAGUUCCUGAAAUACAACGGCGGAUUUGUAGUAUCCUCUGAGCGUAGUAAUUUUUUUCUCGCUUUUGUUAGGUGCUAUAACUCCCAGCCGCUAAACCCCCAAUUUUUUGUGGUUGACCUCGGAUCAGGUAGGAAUACCCGCUGAACUUAAGCAUAUCAAUAAGCGGAGGAAAAGAAACCAACAGGGAUUGCCUUAGUAACGGCGAGUGAAGCGGCAACAGCUCAAAUUUGAAAUCUGGCCCUUGGGUCCGAAUUGUAAUUUGUAGAGGAUGAUUUUGGUGCGGUAUCUUCCGAGUUCCUUGGAACAGGACGCCUUAGAGGGUGAGAGCCCCGUACGGUUGAAUGCCUAGCCUCUGUAAAUCUCCUUCGACGAGUCGAGUAGUUUGGGAAUGCUGCUCUAAAUGGGAGGUAAAUUUCUUCUAAAGCUAAAUAUUGGCCAGAGACCGAUAGCGCACAAGUAGAGUGAUCGAAAGAUGAAAAGCACUUUGAAAAGAGGGUUAAAUAGCACGUGAAAUUGUUGAAAGGGAAGGAUUUGUGACCAGACUUUUUCUGGGCGGAUCAUCCGGGGUUCUCUCCGGUGCACUUCGCCCAGUAAAGGCCAGCAUCGGUUUUCGGCGUGGGAUAAAAGCAGUAGGAAUGUGGCUCUCUACGGGGAGUGUUAUAGCCUAUUGUAUAAUACCGCGCUGGGGACCGAGGU